Long non-coding RNA from Eriocheir sinensis (Chinese mitten crab), 11796 nucleotides. RefSeq lists it as uncharacterized. NCBI's taxonomy places the organism in Eukaryota, Metazoa, Arthropoda, Malacostraca, Decapoda, Varunidae. The record is from RefSeq and is a predicted model, not a curated record. The transcript has 3 exons.
GGGGGGGGGGGGGGGUCUUUAAUCGCUUUGUUAAUUUAUAUAUAUAGUUUACGUAAUACCAAACGGCGGAAUGCAUGCAGAUCUUAGCUCGUGGUAGCUGGGGAAGGGAAGCUAAUACGAUGGUUCUAAGCUUUGGAAUUGGUACUCGGGGGGCAUAUGUUAAAAUUGGAAGGUCGUUAGACUAGACUGAAAUAUUACUUGAGUCACGGAAAGAAAAGUUAGAAGAACAUUUUUUUCAUGGUCGUAAUAGUCUUAUGAGGCCUUGAGGUUCAUGGUCUUAGUAGCUUUAUUAGUCUUAUUAGGUAGGCAGUUAGUUCGGGGGUUCUGCCUUAUCAGUUUUAUUAUUUAGCCUCGGAGUCCUCAUCCUUAUUGGUUAGUCUGGGGUUCUGUUUUAUUAGCUUUAUUCCUUUGGUUUUAUUAUAUUAUUUUACGUUCUGGGGUACGGUAAAGCCUUGCAAUUAGGUCGUUAAGUAAGACUGAAAUAUGUACUUUAACUCGUGGUAAUAAACGUUAGAACAAUUUUAAUCAGAUUUCAAAAUACUACUUUACAUUUUACGAUAGGAUGCAAUGGUUCCUUUCAAAGCCUUGCAAUGUGGUCUUGAGAAUAAUGACUGAAAUAUUACCUGGCUCGUCGCUGUAAGAAAAGAAGUUCAUGCGUGUAAUGACUUUGAAGAUUACUGGAACUGUGGUAAAAGAAAAGUUCAAAGCUCAAUUUUGGUCCAUGUUCAUAUUCCUUCACGUUCUAUUUCAACCUUGUAAAUAUAACCUGAAUCGUCGUGGUAAAAAAAAAAAGUUAGCGAGAGUAAUGACUUAAAAUAUCACUUGAACCACGGUAGCAAAGUUCAAAGCACGUGUUCAUAUUCCUUCACGUUCCAUUUUAACUAUGUAAAAAAAAAAAAGUUAGCGAGAGAAAUCACUUAAAAUAUCACUUGAGCCGCGGUAAGCAAAGUUCAAAGCACAGUUUUAACCCGUGACCAUAUCCCUGCACGUUCUAUUUUAACCUUGUAAUAUAACCUUACUCGUCGUGGUAAAACAAAAAAAAAAAGUUAGCGAGGGUAAUGACUCAAAAUAUCACUGGAGUCGCGGUAAGUAAAUUAAGUUCAAGGCACGAUUUUAGUUCAUGUUGCUAUUCCUUCACGUUCUUUUUAACCUCGUAAUAUAACCUUAAUCGUCCUGGUAAAAAAAAAAAAAAAAAAAAAAAGUUAGCGAGGGUAAUGACUCAAAAUAUCACUUGAGUCGCGGUAAGCAAAGUUCGAAGAGUAGUUUUAGUUAAUUUUCAUGUUACUUCACGUUUUCACCCUUGCUAUAGUAUCGUGCGAACAACAACUGAAUAAAAUCUGAAUCGUCGUGUUAAGAAACGUUCGUGAGAGUAAUGACUUAAAAUAUCGCUGGCAUCAUAGGAAAAAACGUUCAAAGCACAAUUUUACUUCCUAUUCCUCUACGUUAUUUUUAGCCUUGUAAUAGAACCCGAAUCGUCGUGUUAAGAAACGUUCGUGAGAGUAAUGACUUAAAAUAUCGCUGGCAUCAUAGGAAAAAACGUUCAAAGCACAAUUUUACUCCAUGUUUAUAUUCCUCUGCGUUCUUUUUAGCCUUGUAAUAGAACCUGAAUCGUCGUGGUAUUAAAAAGAACUUGAUAGUACUGACCUAAAAUAUUACUGGACUCACGAGAAGCCAGGUUUAAAGAGCAGUUUUAAUUCCUUUUCAUAUUCCUCCACGUUCCGACAUCCGAGGUAUAGCAGGAUUGGCGUUCUUGAGUGACAACAUUUUCCUGGUAGCCGGCGGGUGACUGGCGCCGCGCUGGGCAGAGUUGUGAGUCAGGCGUGCGGCGGGCUGUAUGAUUAAUAGAUUAAGGCUCGGGAGGGCGCGCCAGUCAUGCUCCGAGGAUGUGCACGGCCCUACGGAUAGAUGUCCUCGAUUCUGGCUCCUGUAGGGAAUAUGGGACGUCUUAGGCCUGAGGUUCAUGGUCGUAGUAGUCUUGUGAGGCCUUGAGGUUCUUGGUUUUAGUAGCUUUAUUAGUGUUAUUAGGUAGGCAGCUAGGUCGGGGGUUCAAUCUUAUUAGCUUUUAGUUUUAUUAGUUAGAUUCGGGGUUCUCAUUCUAAUUGGUUAGUCUGAGGUUCUGUUUUAUUAGCUCUAAGUCUUAUUAGGCCGGGGUUGUCAUUCUUAUUUGCUUUAUUAGUCUUAUUAGGCCUAGGUUCUCGUUAUCAUUAGCUUUAUUAAUCUUUCUAGGGCGCGGGUUAUCAUUCUCAUUUGCUUCAUUAGUCUUAUUAGUCAUUUGGACAUGGUUUUAAGAGGGAAAAGAAAUCCUGCAUCGCUACAAAAGUAAAAUGCAUGGUCGUUAUUCUAGCAUGAAAUUUGGAAGGAAAAUUUUGGUUUUCUUUGUUGAUAUUUUUACCGUCUUAUGAUAAACUUUGUAACAAAGUCAGAAGGGUAAAAUAGUAACAGAUCAAAGUGGUUUAUUCUCAUCCACUGCAAUUCGAGAGACUACAAGGCCUAUGUUCUUAAUUAAACAUUUCGGCGCACACACACACACACACACAUUUUAUUAUCAGUCAUAUUAUUUUGUUCAUUUGUUUCAUUCAUCUCAUUAAAUCGUCCACUGAUGUAUAUUUUCAGCUCUAGGACUGCCUGGUUCUUACAGUAAACCGUUUAUUAUUAUUAUCAUUACACACACACACACACACACACACACACAAUUGAUAAGGCUUUGGUAGGAGCUUUGAUGGGUGGGGCAUUUCCAUAGGGGACAGUUUUAUGACCCUCGUGGUGGUAGAUCGACAAAGCUUCCAUAUAUGAUCAUGAACGUGAAAAAUACACUCAUGAGAAUCCGAUUGAUCUCCUUUUUGCCCUUUGGAAAUAGCUGAUGUAAGAGGCGGAAGCGUCCCAGAAUACCGAAUAUUGACCUACGAAACUCAACUAGUGAAUUAAACAAUGUAGGCUCCCCCUCCCUGCCUCACACUCGUUCCCAGCAGUAGCAUUCUUUAGUACCCCCUUGAAUAUUCUCACCGCAUUCCCUUGUUUGAGGAACCCUGUAUUAAGCCCAACGUUGCCAAAUUAUCGUACUCAUCGCAUUGCAUUUUCGUAGUUUCGGACCGAUAACUAUGGCAAAACGGAAAAAAAAAGCAUCAAUAAAUAACAGCUUUAACGCUAACUUUAAUUUUCUAUCGUUAUUUGUGCAGGUACGAGAGUUUGAGGCUUAAAAAUUAUCAAUAUAAUGUGGUGAAUACGAUAAUCUGGCGACGCUGAUUAAGCCGAGUGUGGGUUGUGAGUGGACAAUGCUGUGUGUGUUGUGUUGGGUAAGUCCCGUUUUUGCCCCGCCCUUCCCCAGCAGUAGCACUCUUUAGUACCCCCUUAAAUAUUCCCACCGCGUUCCCCUAGUUUGAGCAACCCUGUGUGGAGCUGAGUGGUCAAUGCUAUGUGUGUUGAGUGCGAGUCCCGUCCUUGGCUAGUGUGAUCAAAGAGUUACGUUGGGGAUAAUAAGAGGGUUGAGGCGAUGGAUGUUUUUAUCGUUGUUAGGUUUCAAAACACUUGAGACGGUGUGAUCGUUGCUGACUGUGUAUUAUGGCGGGGUUGUUGGGAUUGAGGCCCCGGAUGGUGUGUGAUCAUUGAGGAGUUGUGUUGUGCAUUGCAAGAGGAGGGUCAAUGCGAUGGUUCAGCUGUUAUUAUUGGUAGCGUUUAUUUAUAAGCGUUGAAGUGUUGUGAUUAGUGUUGUCUGUGUUGAUUGGGGUUAUUAUUAUUAUUAUUGUUUUUGCCGUAAAGACAGCAGCUCAAGGGCAAAAAAAAACAAAAACGUUAAUCACUGCUCCCAUAUAAAAGAGUUAAGAGGAGUUGUCGAAAGAGAGGUCAAUUUCGUGAGGAAAGGUGUUAUUGGGAUGAUGAUUAUUAUUAUUAUUAUUAUUAUUAUUAUUAUUAUUAUUAUUAUUAUUAUUAUUAUUAUUAUUAUUAUUGAAGCUCUGACUGGUUCGAUCAUUGAGUUGCGUUGUGCAUAAUAAAUGGACUGAGGUGAUGAUUCUUGUUCUUAUUGUUAGGUUUCAGAAGACUUGAGGUGUUGUAAUCAGUGCUGUCCAUUAUUGGGUUUGAGAUUCGUCCUUGGUGGGUGUGAUCAUUGUGUUACGUUGUGCAUAAUAAGAGGGUUGAGGUGUUAAUGCUUCUUCUUAUUGUUAGGAUUCAGAAAAAGUGUUGUGAUCAGUGAUGUCCAUUAUUGGUUACGAGGCCGUGGUUGGUGUGUUCAUGGAAUUCUCUCUCUUUUGGCAAUUCUUUACUUUUGUCUGUUGUGGGAGCGGUGAGUAGCGGGCUUUUUUUAUUCUACACUCUUUUUGUUGACCUUGAGCCGUCUCCUUUGUUGUUAAAAAAAAAGAGAAAAAAAGAGGGUCAGGGGAUGGAUCUUCUUGUUAGCAUUGAAGCCUAUUACGAAGUUGUCAUCGUUGCUGUGUUGGUGAGGCCAGAGUCAUAGGGCCGCUUUCAGUCACUUUGUUUUGAUCGUUACCAAUGGCGGCGAUCGACGCUAUAAUUUUCCACGUGAAAUCGGCCUAUGGGGUAGUGGCGGCUGCAGAAGAAGCGAGAGGUGUUGAGAGUGUGUGGUAAGGUGCGGGGCUAGACUAACCCCGCAGCCGCCACUACCCCAUCGGCCAGUUUUACAUGGAAAUACUAUAGCGGCGAUAACAGCCAUUGGUAACGAUUCAAACAAACAAAACGACUGUGAAAGCGGCCCAUAGAGUAGGAGGAGUUAGGCCAUCUUCAUCACAGGCACCAUGUUGUUAUCAAAAGGGCAGCGCGGAAUUCAAACUAAUACUGAUACAAUAAUGCUUUUUUUCUACUCUAUGGCUUUGGGCAAGGCUGAAGGCGAUGGCCGGAAUGGAUUAUCACAUAGGUAGAAGUCGAUUUUUUUAAUGAUUUUUCUUUUAUAUUUCAAAGGACAAGUUUAGGGGGUUGGCUGGCUUUUACGUAUAUACUUUUACUAUACUUUUAUGGCGUGUUAAAAUUUGUAUAUCCAUUAUUUGAACGUAUAACCAUAACACUGAGGAAGGGGAAGGAGGGGUGGGGGGGUCGAUCUUUACAUGAAAUAAAUCGUAACACUGAGGAAGGGGAAAGGGUGGUGAGGGCGACCUUUCUGUGAGAUAGACUUUGGAUGGGUAUAUACAGUAACCUCCUAGGCACAGUUAUAUGUACGUAGAGAGCGAUUCUUAAAGAGGAAAGCCUGGAGGUGAUGGGAUAACUUUUGUCUUGUGUUCAUCAACCUUCCCCUUCACUUCCCUUCAGUACCCGUCUCGUAAACUGCCCUUCCUUUCCCUUCACCCCUAUCUCUCCCUUUACUUACCUUCAAUACCCGUCUCGUAAACUGCCCUUCCUUUCCCUUCACCCCUAUCUCUCCCUUCACUUACCUGCCACCUAUACUUCCCUUCCCCUCACCCCGUUUAUCCUCCCCUCCCUCCUACUUUCCUUCAUCACCUGCCCCCCUUCCCUUUCCUUCAGACCUAAUUUUUCCCUCCCAUCUCCCUCCCUUCCCUUUCCUUCACUCCAUCUAUCCCUUUCCUCUUUCCUUCCCUCCCUUCUCCCUUCACGACCUGUCCCUUACCCAUUCCCUUCCCUCUAAACUUUCCCUCCCUUCACCCCUCUACCCCUUCCCUACCUCCCUACCUCGCGGGAACGACUGGUAUAAUAGCUUGAGUUGCGUUUAUGCUUUCAAAACCGAACUACACACACACGCACGCACCCAACACACACACCAUAUCCUCUCAAAGUUUCUCACCGACCACCUCUUUAAAUGAACUUCAACACAACACUCCAACAUCAGUCGUUUUGUAGAAUCAGUGCUAUAGCAGAUAUUUUCCAUUUUUUCCCCUCUUUAUCUGCCUCCUUAACUGUAAGAAUAAUGAAGUUUGGGGUGAUGGCUGGUGUGAUCAUUGCUUCCGUGCUGUGUUUGGGACCCCGAGGUGACGCUAGGAAUACUCAUCACUGCAUUGGAUUAGGUUACGAGGCUUGAUCACCGUUGCCAGAUUAUCGUACUCAAGAGCCGCGGAUUUACCAGUUUUUGGCCAAUAACUUGCCAAGAAGCACCAGUAAUUAACCAUUUAAACAAUAACCAUAUAUGAAUACAGUUAUUUGGGUGAUGAAAGCAGUUUUUGGGUCGGAUAUCGGCAAACACAAGAGGCAAAGUACGACAAUCUGGCAAUCUUCACGUAAUUGAGUGCUCUUUCGGCCACCUCUUCGGAUUCUUUACAGGCGCAGCGAGUAGCGGGCUUUUUUUAUUGUUUCCCUUUAUUGUGUCCUUGUGCUGUCUCCUUUACGGUAAAAAAGAAAAGAAAAAGAGUUGAGCCUGAUGUAUUUUUCUCCCUUAAGCUGCCUCCUUUACUGUAAGAGAGAGAGAGAGAGAGAGAGAGAGAGAGAGAUAUUGAUUGAUUUAAGAUGGUGGCUACAGAGGUCAUUGCGCCCGUGCUGUGAUUGAGAUCGCCGAGGUGAUGGUUGGAAUAAUCAUCAUCGUAAUUUCUGUGUUGUGUUGUGUUACGAGGCCUGAAGAUGUGAUGGCCGUUGUAAUCAUUGGUAACACUGAUCAUUUUGAAGUCAAGGUCGGGGAGGUGUAAUAAUCCUGGACUUAGUUGACUCGGUGGUAUUGUUGGUGUUAGCCUAUUAGUUUGAAGGCGAGGCAGUUCAAUUUCUGUGUUUUAAAAAGUGUAUUAUCGCUUAACCACAAAGGACUUAAUUGAUUCAGUGAUAUUGUUGGUGUUAGCCUAUUAGUUUGAAGGCGAGGCAUGGGUGGCAGUUCAUAUUUCUGUGUUUUAAAAAGUGUAUUGUCGCUUAACCACAAAGGAUGUAAUUGAUUCAGUGAUAUUGUUGGUGUUAGCCUAGUAGUUUGAAGGGGAGGCAGUUCAAUUUUCCUUGUUCAAAAAGUGUUGCCGCUUUAUGACUGUCGUAUAAUAUUUUAAUGACUAAAUAUCGUCACCUUCAUAAACAAACCGCCUAAGUCAUUAUUUUCUGCUUUACAGGAAAUCAGAAAAGAACUGUCAUUAUCUUAUUUGGCUUAAGAUUUAGGCAGAAAUGAAAAGCCCAAUUCUAGAACACUCAAACCCUGAAUGACGGAGGCAACUAUACAAAAAUGGGCGUCACGUGAUGAAAAAUUGAUGUAAAAAAAAACCUGAAAAUCACUGAAAAAUGACUUAGGCGAUUAUUUUAUGAGGGUGACGAUAUGGUGAUCUGAUGAGGUCCGUAUUUUAUGAGGGUGACGUUAUGGUGAUCUGAUGAGGUCCGUAUUUUAUGAGGGUGACGAUAUGGUGAUCUGAUGAGGUCCGUAUUUUAUGAGGGUGACGAUAUGGUGAUCUGAUGAGGUCCGUAUUUUAUGAGGGUGACGAUAUGGUGAUCUGAUGAGGUCCGUAUUUUAUGAGGGUGACGAUAUGGUAAUCUGGUGAGGUCCGUAUUUUAUGAGGGUGACGAUAUGGUGAUCUGAUGAGGUCCGUAUUCUCAGACGCUUUCGGCUCAAACAACAAUUAUUUCCAAGGCCCACAAAGGAGAUCAGUCGGGUUCUCAUGAGUGUUUUCCACAUUAACCCCUUGACUGCGGAUUUCCUACCAGAAGACCACCAAGCUAUACAGGAAUGGAACAAAAAGUGGCUGAUACAAUUCAAUGAAGAUGUAAAGUCCUGCACCUUGGGAGGGGAUAUCCAGCAUACCAAUACCACAUGGGAAACACACCACUAUCCACCACAGAGACAGAGAAAGACCUGGGACUGUAUGUGUUACCAGGCUACCAGUGAAGGCGAAAUCCGUGCCAAUCGCAGCGGACGGGUUAAUGGUACAGAAGCCAGCCAUGUCAACUAUCACUAGGCUGAUCUGAAAACUACCCGCCAUGGAAAUGCCUACUACUUCUACAAAAGCCUUAUCAAAUGAGGGUGUUCAGGCUCCGAAAUGUCUUCAGGGCCGUAAUUUCGGGGGGCAAUGGAGGUUAUAUCCCCCAAUGUUUUCUAUAUCGGCUUUAAAAUGACCCUUAACCUGGAAGCAGCAGGGAUCAUGUUUCUUAAUGGUCCCUCUAAGCGAGAAAAAUGAGAAAAAAACAUCACUCACGCGAACCAUUUCAUAAUAUAUAUCAAAGCAUUUGUGAUCAGUUUAUGCAUCAUCUAUUUUGGGGGGUUUAUAUCAUGGCAAAAAUGUGGCCCGUCGCUGCUACACGGUAAAGGCACAGAUUUGGCCCGUCGCUGCUACCGGGUUAAAAAGGAGCCUGACCUGACAACACCUGACACCUGGCCGUAAAAAUGACAGCUCGGGCGGAUUCACUUAAUUGGGGUGAUGUCGACUCCACCAAUUCCACCUCCAUGCCCCCAUCUAUGCGUACAAACCCCACGUAUCCUAUUCACUGUAGCCUGGCUUUUGCGGUCAUCAUAAGCCUCAUUGUCUUCACUGCACCAUUUUUAGCUCAUUGAUUGGAGGUAUAACGCGUAUAUCGAUCGAUGCUCUAAUUUUAAGUAAACAAAGAGCAUCAGACGAUCAGGAGAGCUGUUGAGAUCGAGCCAGUGAUCUGAAGAGAGGAUGUUGUUUUUGUGGAGGAGCUUGAUGGAAAAAAGAGGAUGUUUUGGGAGAAGCUCAGUGUAAAUAGAGGAUGUUUAUAGAUGAGCUUAGUGGAAAAAAAAAGGAUGUUUAUGAAGGAGCUCGGUGCAAAGAGAGGAUGUUUAUGGAGGAGCUUGGUGGAUAAAGAGAGGAUGUUUAUGGAGGAGCUUGGUGGAUAAAGAGAGGAUGUUUUUGUGGAGGAGUUUGAUGGUAAAAUUUGAUCCGGAUGGUGAUUUAAGGAAGAAAGGCUGAAAAUUAUUGGACUUUGUAAACGAUAAUAAGCAUAGGAUUUUGACACGAAUUAUAAAACACGAAAAAUAUAGAAAAAAAGGAGAAUGGUGAUUUUUUUAACAGAACUAGUAGAAUGACUUUGAUCCGGUUGAUGAUUUAAGGAAGAAAGCAUGAAAAUUAUUGGACUUUGUAAACGAUAAUAAGCAUAGGAUUUUGACACGAAUUACAAAACACGAAAAAUAUGGAAAAAAAAGAGAAUGGUGAUUUUUUUAACAGAACUAGUAGAAUGACUUUGAUUCGGUUGAUGAUUUAAGGAAGAAAGCAUGAAAAUUAUUGGACUUUGUAAACGAUAAUAAGUAUAGGAUUUUGACACGAAUUACAAAACACGAAAAAUAUGGAAAAAAAAGGAGAAUGGUGAUUUUUUUAACAGAACUAGUAGAAUGACUUUGAUCCGGUUGAUGAUUUAAGGAAGAAAGCAUGAAAACUAUUGGACUUUGUAAACGAUAAUAAGUAUAGGAUUUUGACAUUAAUUAUAAAACACGAAAAAAUAAGAAAUAUAAAUGAGAAUGCUGUGAUUUUUUAACAUAACUGGCAGGAUGAGUUUGAUCCGGUCGGUGAUUUAAGGAAGAAAGUAUAAAAAUUAGAAAGCAUAAAAACUACGUAAGCAAUAAUGAGUUUGUGAGUGUGUCUGACAUGGUAGCCUACUCGCUUCGGACUAUAAAUAGACCAAAAAUGUUAAUUAAAAUCCACAACAACAGCGAGUAGGAAAAAAUGUCUUGGUAAGGGACUGUAAUGAGCUAAUGAUAAGGUUGGAUUUAAUCUGUUCCCUGAUAGUAGAAGAUAGGCUCUGAUCCUCUCAAAUUAUUACAAAAGUUUACGUGGAGGAGGAAAACCUAAAGCCCGUAUUCUUAAACAUUUCGCUGCCCAAGUAUUAAAAGGAGAUAUUUUGGACUAACUUCCCAUAGCCUACCACGCGAUAUAUACUGACAAGCCCGGGCCUUUUCUCAAAUAUUGCGUUGCUGCCUUACACAUUACACCCACCCACAUUGGACAAGCCUUUCGUAGGAGUUUGGGGUAUUUCCAGGGGUAGUUAUAUGGCCCUGCUGGUAGUCUGACCUUUCUUCCGUACCGUAAACCUGAAAAAACACUCAUAAGAAUCGGAUUAAUCUCCUUCUCGACCUAAGGAAAGCGUUGAUGUGAGAAAAGAGCGUUUAACCCUUUGACUGCGGAUUUCCUAUAAAAAGACCUCACCAAGCUACAGGAAUGGAACAAAAAGUGGCUGCUACAUUUUAGUGAAGAAAAAUAUAGAGUCAUGCACCUUGGGAGGGGAAAUCCAGCAUACCAGUACCACAUGGGAAACAUUCCACUAUCCACCACAGAGGCAGAGAAAGCCCUGGGAGCAUAUGUUUCCAGGCUACCGGUGAGGGCCAAAUUCGUACCAAUCGCAGCGGAUGGAUUAAGAAUACCGACAUAAAGCCCUUCUCCUUAAACCCACAAGUGACAAGGCUUUCGUAGAGGUUGUGUUAGUAGUAUUUCCAUGGUGGGUAGUUGUAUGACCCUGGUGGUAAUUUGACAAGGAUUCUGUUUAUGUGAACGUUGGAAAAACACUUAAAGAGAACUCAACGUAUUCUCAAACAUUUCGUGCAUGGCUUACACAACACAUCCACAAGUGACAAGGCUUUCGUAGAGGUUGCGUUAGUAUUUGCUUGGUGGGUAGUUUUAUGACCCUGGCGGUAGUUUGGCAAGGAUUCUGCACUAUGAACGUGAAAAAAAAACAUGGGAAUCCGACUCUGAUCUCCUUUGUGGCAUCUGGAAAUAUUUGUAGGUAUUGCUAAGAGUAGUUUUAUGAGUCUAGUGAUAGUUUAACAAGGCUUCUGUAACCAUGAACAUGAAAAAGCGCUCAUGAGAACCCGACUGUCUCCUUUGUGGCAUCUAGAAAUAGUUGUGGGUAUUGCUAAGAGUAGUUUUAUGAGUCUAGUGAUAGUUUAACAAGGCUUCUGUAACCAUGAACAUGAAAAAGCGAGAACCCGACUGACCUUCGUGACCUUUGGAAAUAGUUGAUGUGAGGAACCGGAAGCUUUUGAGAGAAUACGGACCGAGAGAAAAUGUUUAAAGGGUAGCGACUGAGGAGAAUAAAUUUAAGCCGAAAAGUAUCUAAUGCAGAGACUAUAUAGUUAAAGAUUCUUCGGGGAGUUCGACGUUUAUGGACAGGAAAGGGAUGAUAAAGACUAAGCCUAAAACUCCAUAAACGGUGAUGUAGCCUCUUCAAAUGUCAACCACGCCCCCUCCUUAAAAUAGCAUGCCAGCUCCCUUUUAAAUAAUAACCCUACCUCCCCUUUUUGUGGUUACCUCGCCCCCCCCCCCCCCUUCUCGAAAGACAACUGAUCCCCUUAGAAAUGGUAAUGUAGCCCCCUAUUAAAAUGGUAACCUAACCCCUAACUAGCUCCUCUUGAAAGGUAACAUAGCCCCCCACUGAAAUGAUUUAAAGUCCCGUAGUUCGUAAUCCAGCCCCCCAUUUCAGGAUAAACCCGCCCCCCCCCCCCCCCACCCCCACCCCGCCCACCACCACCACCACCAUUAAUUUUAACCCUGGCCUCUUCACAUUGUAAUUUAGUCCCUUAAAAUGUAAACAGCCCCUUUAAAUAGUGUUAUAACCCCCUAAAGUGAUAUCAUAGCCCCCUUGAAAAAGUAACCCAGACCCCUUAAUAGGAACCCAGACCCCUUAAAUAGUAACCCAGACCCAAUAAACAGUAACCCAGGCCCUCAAAAACUUGUAACUCAGACCCAUUAAUAGUAACCCAGACCCCUUAAUAGUAUCCCAGACCCUUUAAUAGUAACCCAGACCCCUUAAAUAGUAACCCAGACCCAAUGAACAGUAACCCAGACCCCCCCCAAAAAAAAUUGUAACCCAGCACCUCUCAUAGUAACCCGGACCCAGUAAACAGUAACCCAGACCCCCCAAAAAAAAUUUAACCCAGACCCCAUUUAAAAAGUAACCCCACACCUCUUAUAGUAACCCAGACCCAGUAAACAG